UACGGGGGGAGCAAGCGUUGUUCGGAUUUACUGGGCGUAAAGGGCGCGUAGGCGGCGCAACAAGUCACUUGUGAAAUCUCCGGGCUUAACUCGGAAAGGUCAAGUGAUACUGUUGUGCUAGAGUGCGGAAGGGGCAACUGGAAUUCUCGGUGUAGCGGUGAAAUGCGUAGAUAUCGAGAGGAACACCUGCGGCGAAGGCGGGUUGCUGGGCCGACACUGACGCUGAUGCGCGAAAGCGUGGGGAGCGAACAGG
Molecule: ribosomal RNA, 253 nt
Filed under: uncultured bacterium
Lineage: Bacteria
Description: partial 16S ribosomal RNA
Rfam family: Bacterial small subunit ribosomal RNA
Source: RNAcentral